Molecule: ribosomal RNA, 344 nt
Filed under: uncultured Desulfocapsa sp.
Lineage: Bacteria; Pseudomonadati; Thermodesulfobacteriota; Desulfobulbia; Desulfobulbales; Desulfocapsaceae
Description: bacterial SSU rRNA
Rfam family: Bacterial small subunit ribosomal RNA
Source: RNAcentral
UGCUGCAUGGCUGUCGUCAGCUCGUGUCGUGAGAUUGUUGGGUUAAGUCCCGCAACGAGCGCAACCCUUGCUUUAGUUGCCAUCAUUCAGUUGGGCACUCUAAAGAGACUGCCGGUGUCAAACCGGAGGAAGGUGGGGAUGACGUCAAGUCCUCAUGGCCUUUAUGACCAGGGCUACACACGUACUACAAUGGCCGGUACAAAGGGCAGCCACUUAGCGAUAAGGGAGCCAAUCCCGUAAAGCCGGUCUCAGUCCGGAUUGGAGUCUGCAACUCGACUCCAUGAAGUUGGAAUCGCUAGUAAUCGCAGAUCAGCACGCUGCGGUGAAUACGUUCCCGGGCCGUU